This 461-nucleotide ribosomal RNA is filed under the name uncultured bacterium. Its description in RNAcentral is "bacterial SSU rRNA". It matches the Rfam family "Bacterial small subunit ribosomal RNA", at positions 339 to 791 of the family's 1533-position model. The record is from RNAcentral.
CUACGGGAGGCAGCAGUGAGGAAUUUUGCGCAAUGGCCGCAAGGCUGACGCAGCAACGCCGCGUGGGUGAAGAAGGCCUUCGGGUCGUAAAGCCCUGUCAGGUGGGAAGAAUGUUCGGGGAUCUAACAGGUUCUCGAAGUGACGGUACCACCAGAGGAAGCACCGGCUAACUCCGUGCCAGCAGCCGCGGUAAUACGGAGGGUGCGAGCGUUAUUCGGAAUUACUGGGCGUAAAGCGCGUGCAGGCGGGUGUGCAAGUCUGAUGUGAAAGCCCCGGGCUCAACCUGGGAAGUGCAUUGGAAACUGCACAUCUUGAGUGCUGGAGAGGAAGGGGGAAUUCCCGGUGUAGAGGUGAAAUUCGUAGAGAUCGGGAGGAAUACCAGUGGCGAAGGCGCCCUUCUGGACGGCAACUGACGCUGAGACGCGAAAGCGUGGGGAGCAAACAGGAUUAGAUACCCCGGU